This 3447-nucleotide long non-coding RNA is filed under the name Musa acuminata (dwarf banana). Its description in RNAcentral is "long non-coding RNA (MACU_LNC001773)". The stretch from base 135 to 260 matches the Rfam family "MIR162_1 microRNA precursor family", at positions 1 to 92 of the family's 112-position model. The record is from RNAcentral. Lineage: Eukaryota; Viridiplantae; Streptophyta; Magnoliopsida; Zingiberales; Musaceae.
UUCCUCGUCUCUAAUUCCAAUCCGGUCUCCAUUUCGGAUCCAAAGCGGACAACAUGAUUGCCACAGUAAGUGAUCCCCAUCUCGAAUCUCAUAUCUCCUCUCCCUUUUCGUCCUCCUCGCAGCAAUCGAGUGAUCUCUGGACGCAGCGGUUUAUCGAUCUCUUCCUGGCCUUGUCGGUCUCUUUUCGGGGUGGAUUCGAUGGUUUCUUUUCUUGCUGAGGUUACAAAGCCGGAAUCGGUCGAUAAACCUCUGCAUCCGGACUUCCGCCGACAACCAUUCCUCCGUCCUCCCCCCAACCCAAAACACUCCCCCCCCAACCCCACCUUCUUCCUCCACUUGUUUUCGUCAUCUUAUAUAAUGAUUGGGCAAUGAAGAGGUGGUAGCUGUUAGGGCUAAUUGAUACGGCCGAUUCGAUGCCGAUUUCGAUCCCUUUUUUUUACUCAGAUUAUUGUCGGCAUUCUGCAGAAUUUCAAUCAACGAAUAAUGGUGCCAUCAGCAUUUAGAUCGAUUCAAAAUGGGUGACGUCUUGAGUUGUGAUGAUGGACAGAGAAAACAGUAAAUAUGUUUGAUUUAAUGUCUCUCAGUUCUUUCUUAUGCCUUCAAUUUUUCAUUGUUCUUUUGGAUUCGUUUAUCAUUUCAUUAUCUUCACCAUUUGAUCUAUCCAUAUUUUGGAUUAUUCACUGAAUAGGACGUAAAUGUUUUGUAUUAAACAGACAGCAGAGGACUACUAGAAAUCUUUAUUUACAGAAACUACCAUUAUUGGUUAAUUCGUCAAGGAUGAGAGGUCGGAAUAUACUCUGAGAUGGCUUAAACUUUGCUUUGGGAGGACUAAAUGGGGAAAAUAAGCUCAACUGGUCAAAUUAAUGUGACAGGAUGGCACAGUUUUUAUGAAGAUGAUUGAGAUAUAUUCCAUAUUUUGAUGUUUAAACAGUUAGCCUCAGAAAUAUUUUUCAUUUAAUUUAUUCCUUCUACCAAGAUUUGUUGUUCUCCAUGGAUGUGAACCUCCCUAUAUUUGUUAUGUUUGCAAUGCUUGAAGGUGAAUCUGUAUAAAGAAUUUAAACAUAAAUAUUUUUCUAACAUUUAGCCACACGAAUAUUUUUCAUUUAAUUAAUUCCUUUUACCCAGAUUCCUUGUUCUACAUGCAUGUGAACAUCUCUAUAUUUGUUAUGUUUGCAAUGCUUGAAGGUGAAUCUGUAUAAAGAAUUUAAACAUAAAUAUUCUUCUGACAUUUAGCCACAGGAAUAUUUUUCAUUUAAUUUAUUCCUUUUACCAAGAUUCCUUGUUCUACACGGAUGUGAAACCAUCUAUAUUUGUUAUGUUUGUAAUGCGUGAAGGUGAAUCUGUAUAAAGAAUUUAAACAUCAAUAUUUUUCUAGAAAAGAGCUAUAUGGUACAUGUGUUUUUUUUUUUACUGUGAGAGCAUGUGGUGUAUUUUGUUGUGUGAAUUAUACUUGCUGAAAUAUGGUGGUGGUCAUGAAUACUGAUCUUUGGAUUAUUUAAUUGCGUGCAUGACAUAGCUACCUGUUUAUAACAUGUGUUCUGUUGGAUGUGUUUCAAAUGAUUGACAAGGUUUUAUAUUUCAUUCUUAUCUGCAAAAACAUAAAUUGCAUACUUUGUGAAUUAGAAUACAAUGCAUAUGGAAAACAAAGCAGUCAAGUAAUCUGCAUGCUGAAUGUGUGCCUGACUCUGUUUUUUGGGUAGAAGGGUCUAAAUUCUUAAUGCAUUACGAUAGACAAGGCGAGUGAGAGAAGAGAAACUUGCCAGGAACCAUUUUGAGAGAUAUAACUACAUUUAUGUAUUUCCAACCUCAUUUUCCUUGAUGUAUAAAUAGCCCUGAUAUCGUGGAUACCUUGUGUAAAAAUGAUGAUAUUUAAUUAUCAUCUUUCUUGUUUUCUUUCCUAAUGACCUUACUACCUUCUCUACUUGUUGGAUAAUUAAUAAGACAUAGUAGCUUCCCAGGGCAUAGCUGACCAUGCAUAAAAACCAACAUACCUUUGUAUUUGUAUUCAAAUCAAUUGGCAGGAUAAUAGACUUGUCUAGUUGAUUGAAAUUAUGAUAGCAGUUUAUUUUCUCUUUUUAAGGUAAAAUGUUGUUGCUAUUGCUGUGUGUCAUCAAUUAAAUGCAAGAAUAUCUUCUUGCUUUUCUUUUCUCCUCCUGUAUACUUGUGUGAAUUUUGGUAACUGUCCUAUGGAGCACAAUCUUUUUGAGGCCUUCAUGCCAUGUUAUCUUUUGUAACAUUUCAAAAGAAGUGAGAGUGUGACCAAUUAAACAGAUCGUCCGGUUCUUUCAGAUUAUUAUUCAUGCUUUAUUUUGUUAAAUCUUGAGUACUUCCUAAUUGAGGACUUUUAUUAUGUCAUUCUCAAGUGCCUGAUUUAUGUUAUUUUCUUGUUUGUCUUAGUAACUAUGAUAAAAUAGUUUGCUUCCUCUAUUAGGUCAGACUCUAUUGUUAAUGUCAUAUAGUUUCAUGUAAAGAAUGGGUCGCCUAGUGGAUGAGACCUCGAUCAAUUUAGCUAGUGUUGGAUAUGUAUGUGAAAUAUAUUAUUGAAGUUGCUCAUAUCGGAGAACACAAAAGUUACUUCAUUAGUUUUACUGAAUUUGUUCCACUUAGUCCUUGAGAUGUGUGGUUUUUUUUUUCUUUUUUUGUGCUGCCUUCUUGCAACCUUAAUAUCAACAUUCUGCAUGUUUUAGUUGGUUAGUAAAUAAAGGGUCUGCAUGAUCUUGGAACCUUAAGGUGUUAAAGGCUGUAAGAAGAUCUUUUUCCAAUGUAUGAAAACAUAUAAAAAAAAUGAUGAACCAAUUAACUUGACUAUACAAACCCCAUUUUCUUGGCCAAAAUUUAUCUUUGCAACCAUUAUAAGUUUCAGUUAUGCUCAUUCAGCGCUUGAUUUCACUCAACUUCCUUCAAAAUGAUUUGAAGAGUAGACACACAGUGUUCUACCCCAUGCUCAGAGGCUAGUAGUAUUUAGGGACCUUUUUUGCUGAACCACUUCAAUUCUAGGCCAUGAUGAAAUUACUGUUUUAUCAGCAAAGAACACACUGUGAGUGCAAUCUGAUGCUCUUUCAAGUUCAAACUCUGGUUAUCGGAGGAUCUUGUUCUCAUUUAGCCUAUUUACUGUCAGUAAAGUAUUACACCUUUCAUCUUGAGUUCAAGGGCUCAAUGAAGCCAAGUUAUGGUUAAUGUUGCAGAACUUUAUACAGUGUCUCCUUUCACUGCAUAUGCACCACCUGCAUCAUAUUUUCUUCAUUGUUCGCCCGAAUUGGUGUACUGCAAUAGUUUAUAUGCACCAAAUUUGAUGUUAUGAACGUCUCUCCUCCAUAUAUAUUCCAUAAAUUUGUUGAGCUACCAAUGUAGAACAUCGUUCAUAGUUUCUUACAGCUUGUAGCUUCGUCUUCAAACAAUCAAAGCACCUUCGCUGACGUAUGAUGCAGCUUUCUUCAUGUAGAACAG